GGUGUUGCAUUGCCAUUGCACAGGCUGGCUUCACUGAGAGGCCAGAACACAGAGAAGUCUCUUAGUUCCUAAAGCUCUUGAUAGCAUGCAGGAACCACUGCCUUGGGUCUAGGCCCUAGUAAGAGCGCCUUAGCACACCAGUGUUUACUUACAAAACUCUCAUGCUUUUAAUUAAGCUCCAGUGUGUUCUUGACACCUCAGUCAGGUUGGGGCACAAUGAACAAAGAUUUACUCUUGGAAUAGAUGAGCGCCCAAGAACACAAGAUCACAGACCUAUGACUUAUGGGAACAAUAGGGAAGGGAAGGGACCUGUCUUGGAGAAGCCUGGGGAGGUGCUGUGACAAGGGGGUGACUCACCAUGACAUUUGCCACUUUGGUCCUUUCAUUCUGGAAGAACUUGGGUGACAGCUGCCAGAUGGGAAGUUAGCUUUAUGAGUCUUUGGCAUCAACUUUGGGCAAGGAUGCUUCUACUUCUUGUGACUGUCUUCUUCAACAAGAGAGAGAGAGAGAGAGAGAGAGAGAGAGACAGAG
Perognathus longimembris pacificus (Pacific pocket mouse) is the source of this 531-nucleotide long non-coding RNA. RefSeq lists it as uncharacterized. The record is from RefSeq and is a predicted model, not a curated record. The transcript is spliced from 3 exons. NCBI's taxonomy places the organism in Eukaryota, Metazoa, Chordata, Mammalia, Rodentia, Heteromyidae.